ACCUAGAUGAACAUCGGUGGUCCGGUGUGGGGGCUUCAAACCAGUAGCUGAUAGGAAUUAGAGUGGUUCAAUUCCACUUUCUAGGCG
Argiope bruennichi is the source of this 87-nucleotide non-coding RNA. The record is from the annotation of a RefSeq genome assembly. NCBI's taxonomy places the organism in Eukaryota, Metazoa, Arthropoda, Arachnida, Araneae, Araneidae.